UUCUACGGACGUCAAUGAACCUUUGUCAUUUCCCUCGGCGGUGAUGUUUCAUGCAGCGAAUAUCACCGGGUGGGAAACGGCAAAGGUCCGACUUCUCCGU
Caenorhabditis brenneri is the source of this 100-nucleotide non-coding RNA. NCBI's taxonomy places the organism in Eukaryota, Metazoa, Nematoda, Chromadorea, Rhabditida, Rhabditidae. The record is from Rfam.